AGUGCUGCCAAUAAAUGACGGAGGGACGAGGAGUGAGGAAGCGGUAGAAGGUGUGGUUCUGCUGCUUCUAAACGCUGUGUGCUCUGAUGCUGCUGCUGAAUCCUCGGAGGACUCGGACCAACAUGAAGCUCCUUCAGCUCGUCUGGAUCUUCCUGCUCACUCUGUGCGGACAAAGCGGUGCAGCUUCAAAACCUUGGGUCAAAAAUGUCACGGAGACAGAAGAUGGAGUUUUGCUUCAGUGUGAAGUUUUUGGUGCUUCUCCAGAACUUAAAGUAUUCUGGAAGAACAGCACUGAACAUGAUGUUCCUGCUGAAGAACGAAAGACAAAAACAGGAGGCGGCUACAACAUUACACUCCAAACUAAUGUGACAAAGACCGACACCUACACCUGUGUGACCACGGAGGGGAAGAAGGACGAUGAGGUUUCUUCUGUGCUCCAUGUGACUGUUACUGUUAAAAGCUCCGCGAGUCGAAUUGUUCCUGCAGCUGUUGUUGGAGUUCUUGCAGCUGUUGGAGUUCUUGGACUUGUUCCUGCAGCUGUUGUUGGAGUUCUUGGACUUGUCGCUGCAGUUGUUGUCUGAGUUUCUCUUCAUUCGAUUCAUCGCUGCAGUAAGUCUGCUGGAGGUUCAACACCUGAAGGAAAACUCUGGCUGCACCUGCUGUUCUGUCAACAUCCUGAUUUAUUGUGUUUACUGGGUUUCUGCUGAUUGUAGUCGUGUUUCUGGAACGCACUUUUAUGUGAAUUUUACAUCCUUAAUUUCGUGAAGAAGUUUCACGGUCCCUUGAGGUUGUUUCUAAUGUUCUUCAAAAAAUCUCUUUGUUAUUGAGCUUCUAUUCAGGGUCCAGACAGAGAAUGUGAGUUUAAAUUUAACGUGGUGCAUUAAUGUUUGGUCUGUUUUGGGUUCUGUAGCUGCAGUUUUAACCAGAGAGGAAAAACAAUCAGAACCUGUUAAAGACACGAACAAACACUUUGACUUUUCUGUUUAGUCUUCUUGCUCAGUAUUGGAGAGAUUGCAUUAAUUUUUGUCUCUAUUAAUCAUUUACACCCAGAUGUAUGAUGAAAACAUGAUCCUUGUUUAACAAUAUUGGAAUCAUCCUUCAAGGACGUCAAAGAUUUCUUGGAUAAAUUAAAAUUAAAUCAGAAUUAAAACCGACCUCAGAGAGGCAAAUUUGUGUUUCAUGAAUUUAAUUAACAAUAAAACAGUGAAAAACUCUAAGUAAUAAAAUGUUAACGCACCAAGAAGGUUUUUCUGUUCUGAAAGCGUUCUUAGAAGGUUCUGCUGAUGUUUUCAGCACAAAGUUGUUUUUUAUUUCCACGAAUGUUCUUCUUAAACGCUGCAGAACGUUCUCUGAAGAGGUUUUGAAAAUGUUUGGUUGUUUCCUGAUUGUUUUCUUUGAGAUUUUCCAUCUUUUAUUGUCAUAUAAUUUGUGGAACGUUGUGGGAAUAUUUCUGGUUUGUUUCCUCAAAAACUUCCUCAGAACUUUUCAGGUGAAAUUUUCCACUUUAGUCCGUAUUUCACCUUCUAGGAACGUUUUCUAAAAAUCACUCGAGGCCUUGAGAACAUCUUGAGAACAUUUUUAAUGUUGAUUUGUUCUUCCUUUGCUUUCACAUCGCCUGUUUAUCUGACAACGUUCUCCAAACAUCCUGUGAAUGUUGCAGCUGAAACAUUUUCUGAGAUCUUCAGGUCCAAACAUAAAUGGUCAAAAAUGACUCAUGUUGUCUCGUAUGGUGGCUCCAAUAAAAGAUACUGCUGACAGA
This is a long non-coding RNA of Acanthochromis polyacanthus (spiny chromis), 1759 nucleotides long. RefSeq lists it as uncharacterized. The transcript has 4 exons. Lineage: Eukaryota; Metazoa; Chordata; Actinopteri; Pomacentridae. The record is from RefSeq and is a predicted model, not a curated record.